UACGUAGGGUGCAAGCGUUGUCCGGAUUUAUUGGGCGUAAAGAGCUCGUAGGCGGUCUGUCGCGUCGGAUGUGAAAACCCAGGGCUCAACCCUGGGCCUGCAUUCGAUACGGGCAGACUAGAGUAUGGCAGGGGAGACUGGAAUUCCUGGUGUAGCGGUGAAAUGCGCAGAUAUCAGGAGGAACACCGGUGGCGAAGGCGGGUCUCUGGGCAGUAACUGACGCUGAGGAGCGAAAGCGUGGGGAGCGAACAGG
Molecule: ribosomal RNA, 253 nt
Filed under: uncultured bacterium
Lineage: Bacteria
Description: partial 16S ribosomal RNA
Rfam family: Bacterial small subunit ribosomal RNA
Source: RNAcentral